UGACACGCAGAAAACAGUAGCAACAAAAUGACACGAUCAACAUGCUACGUCUAUUAGUUUGGGUCUAGUCCAUCACGUGAUUCUCCUAAUGACGUGAUCCAGUUAUCAAGCAACAACACCUUGUAUAUAAUCAGAAGACCCUAACUAUCUUUGAUCAACUGGCUAGCCAACUAGAGGCUUGCUAGGGACAGUGUUUUGUCUAUG
RNAcentral lists this long non-coding RNA (204 nucleotides) under Hordeum vulgare. RNAcentral's name for it is "long non-coding RNA (HVUL_LNC004802)". The record is from RNAcentral. Lineage: Eukaryota; Viridiplantae; Streptophyta; Magnoliopsida; Poales; Poaceae.